AGCUUUUUUCCGUAGCUGGCAAGGAGCUGCGAUCCUUUGGAGGAGAAGAGGCACUCUGGUUUUUUGAAUUUUCAGCUUUUCUGCUCUGGUUUCUCGCCAUCUUUGUGGUUUUAUCUACCUUUGGUGUUUGAUGUUGGUGACCUACAGACGGGGUUUUGGUGUGGAUGUCCUUUUUGUUGAUUUUGAGCUAUUCCUUUCUGUUUGUUAGUUUUCCUUCAAACAGUUUCCUCAGCUGCAGGUCUGUUGGAGUUUGCUGGAGGUCCACUCCAGUCCCUGUUUGCCUUGGUAUCACCAGCGGAGGCUGCAGAACAGCAAAUAUUGCAGAACAGCAAAUAUUGCAGAACAGCAAAUAUUUCAGAACAGCAAAUAUUGUUGCCUGAUCCUUCCUCUGGAAGCUUUGUCCCAGAGGGGCACCCGCCUGUAUGAGAUGUCAGUCGGCCCCUACUGGGAGGUGUCUCCCAGUUAGUCUACACAGGGUUCAGGGACCCAUUUGAGAAGGCAGUCUGUCUGUUCUAAGAGCUCAAACACCAUGCUGGGAGAACCACUCCUCUCUUCAGUGCUGUCAGACAGGGAUGUUUAAGUCUGCAGAGGUUCCUGCUGCCUUUUGUUCAGUUAUGCACUGCCCCCAGAGGUGGAGUCUAUAGAGGCAGCAAGCCUUCCCUUGCUGCAGUGGGGUCCACCCAGUUUGAGCUGCCCAGCUGCUUUGCUUUCCUACUCAAGCCUCAGCAAUGGUGAACGACCCUCCUCCUGCCAGACUGCUGCCUUGCAGGUUGAUCUCAGACUACUGCAUUAGCAGUGAGCAAGGCUCUGUGGGAAUGGGACCCGCCAAACCAGGCACGAGAUAUAAUCUCCUGGUGUGCCAUUUGCUAAGACCAUUGGAAAAGUGCAGUAUUUGAGCAGGAGUGUCUUGUUUUUCCAGGUACAGUCUGUCACGGCUUCCCUUGUCUAGAAAGGGAAAUCCCCUGACCCCUUACACUUCCUGGGUGAGGCAAUGCCCUGCCCUGCUUCAGCUCACCCUCCGUGGGCUGCACGCACUGUCCAACCAGUCCCAGUGAGAUGAACCAGGUACCUCAGCUGGAAAUGCAGAAAUCAUCCAUUUUCUGCAUCGAUCACAGUGGGAGCUGCAGACCGGAGCUGUUCCUGUUUGCCCAUCCUCUCCCUGCUUUCUUUACCUCUGAGGUUGGAUUCUCCCUGUGGGAUCCUGCAAUCCUUCUGCCCCAAAAAAACUAUUAUAGCAGGAGGGAACCUGUUCCUGCUCACUCUUUGCCUUCUCCUUCUCAUCCUAGAGAGCCUGACUGUGCCCUAGUUUUCUGAGGAGUGAGUGAUUCUGGGGUGCGGAGCUGGAUGAGGAAACUCAGGCUCAGAGAGGGAUUUCCACCUAAUGUGCCUGGAAACCAUGUGUAGCUACCCAAUAAGGCCUUUCUAUGUUCAGAAGGUCAUGGACCAGGGGUGUUGGUAUCGGAGCUUUGUAGAGACAGUUUUGACCCCUGUACUUAGAGUAGGGGGUGUGUUUGCCACGGAGAGUGUGUGUGGGCAGCUGUGUGUGAGCCUGUGUGGGUUCUGUGUGUGUUCCUGUGUGAAUAUAUGUGUGUGCUCCUUCAUGGACACAGCAUGCAUGUAGUGGGCCUAGCAAGGCAGAGAGAAAUCAGGAGACUAGGGACACAUUGCUGAGUGAUAGUAUCUUCCUACUGGGCAGGACUUGAGGUGUGCAAAGGUGUGCAUGAGUACUGCAAAAGCAGUUCAAAGAGCAGAGAGGUGGGGCCAGAAUAAAUAUGUUGCAGACAGGCAGUCAUCAGGGAGGAAAGUGAGGAUUCCCUGCCAAAAUGCCUGAGGGCUUCCCUGCCUACUUCUGUGUUCUUAAAUCCUCCUGUCUGAACAGAGGCCAGACUCUGGUUUCCCCCACAGCCUGUCUGUGUCUGUCCUCUGCAAAGCCAUGUGGCUCUACCUGGCAGUGUUCGUGGGCCUGUACUACCUUCUGCACUGGUACCGGGAGAGGCAGGUGCUGAGCCACCUGAGAGAUAAGUAUGUGUUCAUCACGGGCUGUGACUCUGGCUUCGGGAACCUGCUGGCCAGACAGCUGGAUGCACGAGGCUUGCGGGUGCUGGCUGCGUGUCUGACGGAGAAAGGAGCCGAGCAGCUGAGGGGCCAGACUUCAGACAGGCUGGAGACAGUGACCCUGGAUGUCAGCAAGACAGAGAGCGUUGCUGCAGCCGCCCAGUGGGUGAAGGAGUGCGUGGGAGACAAAGGAGGGAACUCUCCUAUUUUGGGGUGAAGGUGGCUAUGAUUGAACCUGGCUAUUUCAAGACUGCUGUGACCAGUAAGGAGAGAUUCUUAAAGAGCUUCCUGGAGAUUUGGGACCGGUCCAGUCCAGAGGUCAAGGAGGCCUAUGGCGAGAAGUUUGUUGCAGACUAUAAGAAAUCAGCUGAACGAAUGGAGCAGAAGUGCACACAAGAUCUGUCCUUGGUGACCAACUGCAUGGAGCAUGCGCUGAUUGCCUGCCAUCCCCGCACUCGCUACUCAGCUGGCUGGGAUGCCAAGCUUCUCUACCUCCCCAUGAGCUACAUGCCCACCUUCCUGGUGGAUGCCAUUAUGUACUGGGGCUCUCCAAGCCCGGCCAAGGCUCUAUGAAGCCAAGGCUUGGAUGCGUGGUUGCAUGGAUUUGGGGUGUGCUAUGAGGGGUGAUGUAUCCUUGGGAGAGAUAUAAAGUGGAGGGAGGGAGCUGUCAAGUCAGUAGGGCACCAAUCCCUCCUCCUUCAUUACCUCCUGGCCAUGAUUCUCCUGGGAGAUAAUUCUGCUCUCUGGAGAUGUUGGUGGGAAAGUUUCAAGUUAUACAGCUGAGAAACAGGGACCAAAUAGUGGUCCUGGGUGCAUUGUCACCAUGGGUGGCCACUCAAGGGUCCAAGCCUCUUGGGCCAUCCUUGGGCUAACAACUGGGGUGGGUGUGAGCAGGUGGAAGGAGCCUCAGCCCAUGCCGUUACCUCCUGCUUCCUUAUCAGGCUGUGUGUUAAUUCUGGGCCAGUCUACACCCUCCCACGGGGUGGAAAUGGCCUGGAGGAUGUGAGGGCACCCCUCCUCUGAAGAUCCCUGUACACGUGGUGUUGGAACUGGAACCGUUAUGCACCCCCAUAGGCCUCAGGAGUCAUCCCAGAAGCAGUGGCUGGGAGGUGGUGUCCUAAGUAAGGAUCUGUGCAGAGGACAAAUAAAUCAGUUUUUGAUUUGU
This 3220-nucleotide small RNA is filed under the name Pongo abelii (Sumatran orangutan). RNAcentral's name for it is "processed transcript". The record is from RNAcentral. Lineage: Eukaryota; Metazoa; Chordata; Mammalia; Primates; Hominidae.